Molecule: ribosomal RNA, 659 nt
Filed under: uncultured Ascomycota
Lineage: Eukaryota; Fungi; Ascomycota
Description: LSU rRNA
Rfam family: Eukaryotic large subunit ribosomal RNA
Source: RNAcentral
GUGAAAUUGUUGAAAGGGAAGCGCUUGCAACCAGACUUGCAUGCAGUCGAUCAUCCGAUGUUCUCACCGGUGCACUCGAUUGUAUUCAGGCCAGCAUCGGUUUUGGUGGCUAGAUAAAGGCCUUGGGAAUGUAGGUCCCAUUUGGGAGUGUUAUAGCCCUUGGUGCAAUGUAGCCUACUGGGACCGAGGACCGCGCUUCGGCUAGGAUGCUGGCGUAAUGGUUGUAAGCGACCCGUCUUGAAACACGGACCAAGGAGUCUAACAUCUAUGCGAGUGUUUGGGUGUAAAACCCAUACGCGUAAUGAAAGUGAACGGAGGUGAGAACCCUUAAGGGUGCAUCAUCGACCGAUCCUGAUGUCUUCGGAUGGAUUUGAGUAAGAGCAUAGCUGUUGGGACCCGAAAGAUGGUGAACUAUGCCUGAAUAGGGUGAAGCCAGAGGAAACUCUGGUGGAGGCUCGCAGCGGUUCUGACGUGCAAAUCGAUCGUCAAAUUUGGGUAUAGGGGCGAAAGACUAAUCGAACCAUCGCUUAUUAGCUUAUUAUGAUUCUUUUUUGCGCUAUUAGGUGGUUAAUUGAGAUAAAUAUCUCCAGCUGUCUAUGAUGGCGACUUAGACAUCUUUGCUCGGGCGUGCAUAAGCAUGACGAGAAGCAACUUUUAUU